This 205-nucleotide ribosomal RNA is filed under the name uncultured bacterium. RNAcentral's name for it is "partial 16S ribosomal RNA". It matches the Rfam family "Bacterial small subunit ribosomal RNA", at positions 524 to 727 of the family's 1533-position model. The record is from RNAcentral.
UACGUAAGGGGCAAGCGUUGUCCGGAAUCACUGGGCGUAAAGCGCACGUAGGCGGUUUAGCAAGUUAGGGGUGCAAGCUCCAGGCUUAACCUGGAAACUGCCUCUAAAACUACUUCACUUGAGUAUUAGAGGGGAAGCUGGAAUUCACGGUGUAGCGGUGAAAUGACGUAGAUAUCGUGGAGAACACCCGUGGCGAAGGCGGGCU